AACGAACGCUGGCGGCAGGCCUAACACAUGCAAGUCGAGCGAGGACUUCGGUCCUAGCGGCGGACGGGUGAGUAACGCGUGGGAACGUGCCCUUUGCUUCGGAAUAGCCCUGGGAAACUGGGAGUAAUACCGGAUGAGCCCUUUGGGGGAAAGAUUUAUCGGCGAAGGAUCGGCCCGCGUUGGAUUAGGUAGUUGGUGGGGUAAUGGCCUACCAAGCCGACGAUCCAUAGCUGGUUUGAGAGGAUGAGCAGCCACACUGGGACUGAGACACGGCCCAGACUCCUACGGGAGGCAGGAGUGGGGGAUCUUAGACAAUGGGGGAAACCCUGAUCGAGCCAUGCCGCGUGAGCGAUGAAGGCCUUAGGGUUGUAAAGCUCUUUCAGCUGGGAAGAUAAUGACGGUACCAGCAGAAGAAGCCCCGGCUAACUCCGUG
Molecule: ribosomal RNA, 433 nt
Filed under: uncultured bacterium
Lineage: Bacteria
Description: partial 16S ribosomal RNA
Rfam family: Bacterial small subunit ribosomal RNA
Source: RNAcentral